Molecule: transfer RNA, 72 nt
Filed under: Camelus bactrianus (Bactrian camel)
Lineage: Eukaryota; Metazoa; Chordata; Mammalia; Artiodactyla; Camelidae
Also listed under: 2 other names
Rfam family: tRNA
About the family: Transfer RNA (tRNA) molecules are approximately 80 nucleotides in length. Their secondary structure includes four short double-helical elements and three loops (D, anti-codon, and T loops). Further hydrogen bonds mediate the characteristic L-shaped molecular structure. tRNAs have two regions of fundamental functional importance: the anti-codon, which is responsible for specific mRNA codon recognition, and the 3' end, to which the tRNAs corresponding amino acid is attached (by aminoacyl-tRNA synthetases). tRNAs cope with the degeneracy of the genetic code in two manners: having more than one tRNA (with a specific anti-codon) for a particular amino acid; and 'wobble' base-pairing, i.e. permitting non-standard base-pairing at the 3rd anti-codon position.
Source: Rfam by way of RNAcentral
AAGGGUAUAGCUCAGUGGUAGAGUGUGCGCUUAGCAUGCACAAGGUCCUGGGUUCGAUCCCCAGUACCUCCA